Molecule: transfer RNA, 73 nt
Filed under: Camelus bactrianus (Bactrian camel)
Lineage: Eukaryota; Metazoa; Chordata; Mammalia; Artiodactyla; Camelidae
Also listed under: 1 other name
Rfam family: tRNA
About the family: Transfer RNA (tRNA) molecules are approximately 80 nucleotides in length. Their secondary structure includes four short double-helical elements and three loops (D, anti-codon, and T loops).
Source: Rfam by way of RNAcentral
GAGGGUAUAGCUCAAGUGGUAGAGCACAUGCUUAGCAUGCAUAAGGCCCUGGGUUGAAUCCCCAACAUCUUUA